ACUAAAUGUUACAGUUGUGGAAGGUAUGGACAUGUGACGCGAGAUUGUCGAAAAGGGCAAGGCCAGAUAUCAAAACAGGUUAAGAAUGAGCAGCUACCUGGUAUGUGUCGCUGGUGUGGUAAAGGACGACACUGGGCUAAUAAAUGCCGUUCCAAAAGGGGUAAGUUAGGAAAUCUUUUGCCUCCACGAGAUGAUGUCUCGGGAAACGGGAAGCUAGGCCCAACCUGGGGCCGCAACAACAAUACGGGAAAAGUGACAGUAAACUCUCAACAGUAUCCAGUAAGCAAUGGCAGCUUUUAUCAGACAUUACAGGACAGUCUCAACCUCGGCUCUUAGUUACUGAUCUCAUACAUAAUACCAGUGGCAGUGCUGCCGUUGACUUGAGUGCUUCUCGAGAUGGUAUCCUUACGCCAGCAGGAGAAAUACACAAAUUAGCUACAGGAGUUUAUGGCCCUAUACCUACAGAAACCGUGAGACUAUUAUUAGAACGAAGUAGUUUGACUCUGCAGGAUGUAACAGUUCAUACUGGAGUUAUUGAUGAGGAUUAUAAUGGAGAAAUUUCUAUUAUGAUUUCUGUUACAAAAUCUAUAGAAUUUAAUAAGGGACAAAGAAUUGCUCAAUUGUUACUGUUACCGUAUGUAAAACAAGCAGCCGCCCCAGUAAAGCCUACUGGGGGGUUCGGCAGCACGGGAAAAAAUGUUUUUUGGCAAUCCUUUAUCAACGACCAACGUCCUCAAUUAACGCUUACUUUUAACAAUAAUGUGAAAUUUACAGGCCUUGUUGAUACGGGAGCUGAUGUGUCUAUAAUAAAACAGUCUGAAUGGCCUUCAUAUUGGCCUUUAAAAAAGAUGGAAGCUACUUUUACAAAAAUAAAAACAUUACAUAUGGUUUGACACAAUAAAAAAUUGAGAUGUAAAGGCCCGGAAGGACAAAAAGCCAUGUUACAACCAUAUGUGGCCAAUAUUAAAAUUAAUUUAUGGGAAAGAGAUAUACUACAACAAUAGAAAACCUCUAUCUCCAUACCAACAAUUUCCCCUAAAACAAUACAAAUGAUGUCAAACAUAAAAUGUGAUUAUUCACAGUUAAAUGCUACUAAACCCCAAUAUGUAACUAAAACAGGAAAAGAUUAUACUGGGCUUGGAUAUCCAAAUUUAGUGUAGGGGCCACUGCUCAAAAAUUUGCAUUACCAUUAAAAUGGUUAAAAGAUACCCCUAUAUGGACAGAGCAGUGGCCCUUAACUCAAGAAAAAUUACAAACAUUACACCAAUUAAUACAAAAACAAUUAAUAACAGGACAUAUUAAAGUAUCCACUAGCCCUUAAAACUCACCUGUUUUUGUAAUAAAAAAAAAUCAAAAAAAUGGAAAAUGUUGACAGAUUUACGAAAAAUUAAUGAGAUUAUUCAACCUAUGCGGGCAUUGCAACCUGGAAUUCCAUCUGCUGCAAUGCUCCCUCGCAAUUGGGAACUUAUAAUUAUAGAUUUAAAAGACUGGUUUUUUACUAUACCAUUACAAUCUCAAGAUUGUGAAAAAUUUACAUUUACUGUACCAGCCCUAAAUCAAAAAGAUCCGGCUCAGAGAUUUCAAUAAAAAGUUCUCCCUCAGGGGAUGUUAAAUAGUCCAACUAUGUGCCAAUUUUUUGUUAAUCAACCUUUGGAGGAUUUACGUCACAUAUAUCCUGAGACACGUAUUCUUCAUUAUAUGGAUGACAUUCUAUUUGCUCAUUCUCAUCAGCAAAUGUUACAACAGAUGUUACAACAAGCAGAGUUGAAAUUUUAAAAAUGGGGUUUACAAAUAGCUCCUGAAAAACUUCAAAAAUGUGCUUCCUGGCAAUAUCUUAAACAAAUUGUAACCAAUACUCAAAUUAUUCCUCAGAAAGUACAAAUUAGACGAGAUUCUCUUGUAACAUUAAAUGAUUUUCAAAAAUUACUAGGAGAUAUUAAUUGGUUACGUCCUAGCCUAGGAAUUCCUACUUAUAAGUUACAAAAUUUAUUUCACACCUUGGAAGGCGAUCCAGCAUUGAAUAGUCACCGUGAACUUUCUCCCCAGGCUGAACAAGAACUUAAAUGGAUAGAAAAACAUAUACAUGAUGCACAGUUGGAUCGGAUCGAGUCUCUGGAUCAUUUACGACUUAUUGUAUUUCAUACUCCUCAUUCCCCUACUGGAUUACUACAACAACAAGAUAAUCUCAUAGAGAGCUGAAUCCUAUUGGGUGCCGGCUAAGAAGAUAAAGCUUCGGGAUGGCAACUAAGCGUAGCUUUGAUGUGACGGAAAUGACGAAGGGAUUUGCGGAGAUGGAUUUGAGCAAGAGAGCAUCCCGUGCGCCAUUGGAUCGAACAAAGAGGGCGUCUCCAUUGACCUGGGGGCAAGUGAAAAAGUUUGCAGGCACUGCCGAAAAUCUUGUUAUUUCGCAGGGUAAACCCCUCAAUAGCACCAAUCUUUUUGUGGCCAUGAUGGCAGUGUUGUCUGCACAGUCCAACGACGAGUAAAAGCUACCUGCCAUGCAACGUCACAACAAGCUGCCGUGUUCUCCUUGAUGCUGCAUAAGCUGCAAAACGAAAAGGGGGAAACGUAGUGGAAUAACUGAGGACAUGGAAAGGAGACGUGACCCAUGAGCCACCCCCCCC
Long non-coding RNA from Aethalodelphis obliquidens (Pacific white-sided dolphin), 2624 nucleotides. RefSeq lists it as uncharacterized. The record is from RefSeq and is a predicted model, not a curated record. NCBI's taxonomy places the organism in Eukaryota, Metazoa, Chordata, Mammalia, Artiodactyla, Delphinidae. The transcript is spliced from 3 exons.